GCUCUCGUAGCUUAGUGGUCAGACCAUUGGUGUGUAAAGCCAAAGGUCCCAGGUUCGAUUCCCGGCGGGAGCA
Molecule: transfer RNA, 73 nt
Filed under: Agrilus planipennis (emerald ash borer)
Lineage: Eukaryota; Metazoa; Arthropoda; Insecta; Coleoptera; Buprestidae
Rfam family: tRNA
About the family: Transfer RNA (tRNA) molecules are approximately 80 nucleotides in length.
Source: Rfam by way of RNAcentral